RNAcentral lists this ribosomal RNA (533 nucleotides) under uncultured Ascomycota. Its description in RNAcentral is "eukaryotic LSU rRNA". The stretch from base 144 to 297 matches the Rfam family "5.8S ribosomal RNA". The record is from RNAcentral. Lineage: Eukaryota; Fungi; Ascomycota.
CUUCCCCAGGCCAGUGGCCACUGCCACCAGUCAGGCAUCCAUAGGGGAGCUUUUGUGAGGUGCCUGGGGAAGGGUCAUCUAUUAAACUUUACAUUAACUUACAGUCUGAGAAGGCAAUGUGCCGAAAUUAUCAAAUAUGUUAAAACUUUCAACAACGGAUCUCUCACAUCUCGCAUCCUGGAAGAACGCAGCGAAAUGCGAUAAGUAAUGUGAAUUGCAGAAUUCAGUGAAUCAUCGAAUCUUUGAACGCACAUUGCGCCCUUUGGUAUUCCAUAGGGCAUGCCUGUUCGAGCGUCACUAAUAACCUCAUCACCAACUGUGUGGUAUUGGCAGAAGUGGGUAGGGCUAGCAUUGCUGGUCCCACUCUGCUGGAAUAAAUAGGCCGGAAAUGUAGACCACAGUAACAGGCUUUCAGAGUAUUUGAGAUACUAAACUAGUCCAUAGCUGGUCAGGAUCCAGGCCAUUGGACCCCCAUUCUGUGUAAAGCAGUAAGGUUGACCUCGGAUCAGGUAGGGAUACCCGUAUAGGGCGCC